CAGUUCCUGGAUUUUCUAAAUUUUUAUGCGGAGACUAAACACACUUCACAUACCUAAAAAAUAUCCAAAAAUCCAAAAUCGAUGUUAAAAAUAUCUUUCGGCUAAUUUUAAAAUUCUAGCACGGCGACAGUGCUGUACUCCGACGAUGACACCACCGUCUGUAGCAGCGGUUGCCUCGACCUGACCGUUUUUGGUCAGUUUAGGUCGAUUUCGGCCGACUUUAUACGUAUCCCUGCGAAAAAAUACAUUAGUAAACCUCAGUUGGUCGAAAAAAUC
This 276-nucleotide long non-coding RNA is filed under the name Carica papaya (papaya). RNAcentral's name for it is "long non-coding RNA (CPAP_LNC012376)". The record is from RNAcentral. Lineage: Eukaryota; Viridiplantae; Streptophyta; Magnoliopsida; Brassicales; Caricaceae.